AUUUAUUUUACACCUAGUCUUGUCGUACAGGCCACUUUAGGUGGGUCCAACUCGUGUGUAGGAUUUGAUAUGAUUGAGAUUGCUUAUGAGCUAUAUACUCAUCCGUGCAAGUAACGUUAGUUGGAUUCAGCUGAUAUGAUAUAUGACAUUGAUAUAUUUUAGUUAGAUUACUUAUGGCAUUUCAUUGAGAUACUUUGGCAUGGUAUAUUUCUAUGGAUUUUGUCCUAAGCAUGAUUUCUGAAAUAGCAUAUAUUAUAUUUCUAGGAAAUUAUAUAAGUUUUACGGUGAGGGGUUAGAACUUUUGAGAAAUGAAAUGAUUUUGAAAAGCUUUUUUUAUACCCAUUCAUACUUUCUGUUUUGCGCCCCUCUAGGUUUUAGGUAGAAGUGCUUGGUGGCUCACGGGGAUUUCGACGGUGGUUCUGACAGAACAUCUAAAAUGUAGGAUCACCUUUGGGUGUAGUAUAAUAAGUACUUGUCCAGUCGGACUGCAUUUAGGCUAUUUUUGUAUAUUUCACACUUAAUCUCGCACUUGCACCUUAUCUUAUCUAUUACUCUAGUUGAAUUGGUUUUUGUUGAUUCACAAUUCCUUAUUUCUUCAUUACUUCUGCACUGUGCACAUGGUUACGUCACCUUCACGUGACGACCAGCAUGCCUCGAUUCUGGUCGGGGUGUGUCAAAAAAGUGUUGGAAAUGUGCCCUAAAACCAAUCAUGUGAUGAUAUUUUACGGACAUUUCACAUGUUAAACUAAUCUAGUUUAAUAUCAAGGGCAAAGAUUAUUGUUUUAAGCCAUCUCAUAUAAAUGUUAUAUGCUUAAACGAUAAGUCCAAAGAAUAUGUAAUUUAAACAAGUUAGAUUUAUAAGACCAUUCUCUUUCGUAUACAUAUCCUAAACGUUCAUGAUCAUAGGAUUGCCAAUUGGGCAUUGACAGUCCGUUAAGAUCAGUACGUGUUGUGUCUUCUCUCAUGGAGAGUGACUAGUCUCGAGUCAUUGGUGUGAUUGACACCAAGACAAGCAUGUAGGUGCUCAAUAGCGAAUGAGUCCACUAAACACGAUCAACGAGGAGUUCUCAUACUUAUGUCACAUGAGAACUCAUGGUUGGGAUAAUGCAAAGUAGUCCUUUGACCUGAGGCAUUAUGGUUGUCUUGUGGUUAAGUCCUUGAUCUUUGACUAUGUCAAAGUUACUCCAUCAGAGGGUGUCCACGACAUAGUUGGGGUUAAGCUACUUAGCCAUGGAGGCAAGUGAAUGAGCAACAAGGGAUCUCUAACCUUCAAACCGUUUGAGGGAGAAUACUCUAUGAUAUGAUUAAGGAUCUCUUGCCAGAGUAUGAAUGAGAUUUAGGAAGUCAUUCCAAAUCACAUUCAAGGUAAUCAUAUAAGUAAAUGAAUCACAUUGGAUAGUAGACAUGAAUAAACUAUCAAUCCAAAUAAUGUGGUCAAGAGUAUUGUAUUAGAGAAAGACCGUAUUGUAUUGUAAUCCUAAACUGAAUAGGUUCUCCACCUCUUCUGAUUAGCUUGGGUAACCAUGACAUACUGCUAGGUGUCACUCAUGGUUUGUGGAAGCCCUAAACGUGUAUAAUCACUAAAGGGAGAAUUGAAAGUAAGUUUCAAUUCACAAUCGAUUUGAAAGAGUUCUAAUUGCCCACUGCCUCGCUAAAAGGAACCUAAUGGAUCGUACACCGUGUAAGGUAAAGAUUGAAGAAACAACGGAGAUGAGUAAGAAUAAUUAAAUGGUUUAAUUAUUUAUGGCAAGGAUUAAUUAAUAUGUUAAUUAAUCAAACGAAUAAAGUUCGUUGAAAGACCUAGGGUUAGUUUUGGGUCUUAAGGCCCAAUGGGCUUUGAACGUCAAGCCCAUUGACUUAAGUUGUAUGACAACUUAAUGACUAAAUAUUCACAAAGGCCCAAACAACCCAAUAACACCCUAUGGCCGGCCAUAUUGAUAAUGGAGUGGGU
RNAcentral lists this long non-coding RNA (1951 nucleotides) under Malus domestica (apple). Its description in RNAcentral is "long non-coding RNA (MDOM_LNC006035)". The record is from RNAcentral. Lineage: Eukaryota; Viridiplantae; Streptophyta; Magnoliopsida; Rosales; Rosaceae.